GACGAACGCUGGCGGCGUGCUUAACACAUGCAAGUCGAACGGAAAGGCGCUGCUUUUGUGGGGUGCUCGAGUGGCGAACGGGAGAGUAACACGAGAGUAACCUACCCUUGACUUUGGGAUAGCUUCACGAAACUGGGGCUAGUACCGGAUAGGAGCUCCUGCUGCAUUGUGGGGGUUGGAAUGUUUCGGCGGUUGGGGAUGGGCUCGCGGCUUAUGAGCUUGUUGGGGGGGUAGUGGCUGACGAGGGCUUUGAAGGGUAGCCGGCCUGAGAGGGUGACCGGCCACAUUGGGACUGAGAUACGGCGCAGACGCCUACGGGAGGCAGCAGUGGGGAAUAGUGCACAAUGGGCGGAAGGCGGAUGCAGCAACGCCGCGUGCGGGAUGACGGCCUUCGGGUUGUAAACCGCUUUCGCCUGGGACGAAGCGGGAGUGACGGUAAUGGGUAAAGAAGCACCGGCUAACUACGUG
This 468-nucleotide ribosomal RNA is filed under the name uncultured bacterium. Its description in RNAcentral is "partial 16S ribosomal RNA". It matches the Rfam family "Bacterial small subunit ribosomal RNA", at positions 28 to 507 of the family's 1533-position model. The record is from RNAcentral.